Molecule: ribosomal RNA, 256 nt
Filed under: uncultured bacterium
Lineage: Bacteria
Description: partial 16S ribosomal RNA
Rfam family: Bacterial small subunit ribosomal RNA
Source: RNAcentral
UACGGUAGGGGCUAGCGUUGUCCGGAAUCAUUGGGCGUAAAGAGCGUGUAGGCGGUUCGGUAAGUCUGUCGUGAAAUCCCUGAGGCUGCAACCUCGGGCGUGCGAUGGAUACUGCCGGGCUAGAGGGUGGUAGAGGCGAGUGGAAUUCCCGGUGUAGCGGUGAAAUGCGCAGAGUAUCGGGAGGAACACCAGUAGCGAAGGCGGCUCGCUGGGCCACACCUGACGCUGAGACGCGAAAGCUAGGGGAGCGAACAGG